UACAGGGGGGGCAAGCGUUGUUCGGAAUUACUGGGCGUAAAGGGUUUGUAGGUGGCUUGCUCAGUCAGACGUGAAAUCCCUCAGCUUAACUGGGGAACUGCGUCUGAUACUAGCGAGCUUGAGUUCCGGAGAGGAAGGCAGAAUUCCCGGUGUAGCGGUGAAAUGCGUAGAUAUCGGGAGGAAUACCAGUGGCGAAGGCGGCCUUCUGGACGGAUACUGACGCUGAGGCGCGAAAGCCAGGGGAGCAAACGGG
This 253-nucleotide ribosomal RNA is filed under the name uncultured bacterium. Its description in RNAcentral is "partial 16S ribosomal RNA". It matches the Rfam family "Bacterial small subunit ribosomal RNA", at positions 524 to 776 of the family's 1533-position model. The record is from RNAcentral.